UUAAUUAUUUUACUAGAUAUGUAAUCCUCAAAUUAACGGUUGUUACUUUUAUAUACGGAAUCAUUUGCGGUCUGCUGAUUUUAAAUAGUUACGAUAUUUCCUGGCAUAUUUAUAAUUCUCCAUGGAUAAAUGCAUCCCGAAAUAAACGUCAAACAAUUUUUAUGGUCAUUCAACGGUGUCAGAAACCAGUUAUACUUAGCGGCACUCCUUGUAUACCUAUUGUUUCAAUAAGAUUUUGUGGAUCGGUUCUCUGUGCUACGGUUUCAUAUUUCAUGGCAUUGCGAAUGAUACUUGGACGUAAAAUAGAUUAGUAACAUUUUAUAUACGUAAGUCAUUGACAGUUUGUAAUUAUCUUAAC
This is a long non-coding RNA of Nylanderia fulva, 358 nucleotides long. RefSeq lists it as uncharacterized. Lineage: Eukaryota; Metazoa; Arthropoda; Insecta; Hymenoptera; Formicidae. The record is from RefSeq and is a predicted model, not a curated record.